AUACAAUACAGCGGAGGCGUCGUUGGAAUCUCCACGAUAUGAAGGCCUACGUCGCUAUUGCUCAGCAUAAUUACCAGCUCCCAAUUUCAUAUUAUUUGUCAGAACUUAAUAAAUUAAAAAAAAAAAUUAAUACGUUUUCAUCUUUUAUUUGUGGUAUGAAU
Long non-coding RNA from Drosophila erecta, 161 nucleotides. RefSeq lists it as uncharacterized. The record is from RefSeq and is a predicted model, not a curated record. Lineage: Eukaryota; Metazoa; Arthropoda; Insecta; Diptera; Drosophilidae. The transcript has 2 exons.